Molecule: non-coding RNA, 62 nt
Organism: Erinaceus europaeus (western European hedgehog)
Lineage: Eukaryota; Metazoa; Chordata; Mammalia; Eulipotyphla; Erinaceidae
Source: Rfam
AUAGCCACUUGGCACCCUUGUGAUAAACAGACAAGUCACAGGGGCAGUACCUGAGGGUCUGU